CUCCUACGGGUGGCUGCAGUGGGGAAUUUUGGACAAUGGGCGCAAGCCUGAUCCAGCAAUGCCGCGUGCAGGAUGAAGGCCUUCGGGUUGUAAACUGCUUUUGUACGGAGCGAAACGGCUUUCUCUAAUACAGGAGGCUAAUGACGGUACCGUAAGAAUAAGCACCGGCUAACUACGUGCCAGCAGCCGCGGUAAUACGUAGGGUGCGAGCGUUAAUCGGAAUUACUGGGCGUAAAGCGUGCGCAGGCGGUUUUGUAAGACAGAUGUGAAAUCCCCGGGCUCAACCUGGGACCUGCAUUUGUGACUGCAAGGCUGGAGUGCGGCAGAGGGGGAUGGAAUUCCGCGUGUAGCAGUGAAAUGCGUAGAUAUGCGGAGGAACACCGAUGGCGAAGGCAAUCCCCUGGGCCUGCACUGACGCUCAUGCACGAAAGCGUGGGGAGCAAACAGGAUUAGAUACCCUGGUAGUCCACGCCCUAAACGAUGUCAACUGGUUGUUGGGUCUUCACUGACUCAGUAACGAAGCUAACGCGUGAAGUGACCGC
Molecule: ribosomal RNA, 542 nt
Filed under: uncultured bacterium
Lineage: Bacteria
Description: bacterial SSU rRNA
Rfam family: Bacterial small subunit ribosomal RNA
Source: RNAcentral